AGGACCCUAUUCCAGACUCCCAUAAAGCGACGUAUGGCGUUAAUUAAAGGUGUUACCACUGCAGUACGUUAUACAUAGUGACGUUUUCGCGCAUGGCGACUAUGGCGAUAACGUUGGAUACAUGUUGACGAAAGAAUUUCACGGAUCAUGUUUUUACUGAAUAAGUACAGAAAAAUAGAAAACAGAUCUGUAGGCUAAAAAAUCUUACAGUAUCACACCUAUUUACGUAAAAAAGUAUGAAACUCAUGGCACGAAAUCGGAUACAGAAAUUAAUUUUCCUACCUGAAUAUUCAGAAUUUAAAGACACUCUGCUUGCAGAAUCAGCUUUUAUUGAGUUAGACAAGUGUGGUGAACCAGUCAGACAAGUGUUU
This is a long non-coding RNA of Mytilus californianus (California mussel), 371 nucleotides long. RefSeq lists it as uncharacterized. The record is from RefSeq and is a predicted model, not a curated record. NCBI's taxonomy places the organism in Eukaryota, Metazoa, Mollusca, Bivalvia, Mytilida, Mytilidae. The transcript has 3 exons.